AACGAACGCUGGCGGCAUGCCUAACACAUGCAAGUCGAACGAGACCUUCGGGUCUAGUGGCGCACGGGUGCGUAACGCGUGGGAAUCUGCCCUUGGGUUCGGAAUAACAGUUAGAAAUGACUGCUAAUACCGGAUGAUGUCUUCGGACCAAAGAUCUAUCGCCCAAGGAUGAGCCCGCGUCGGAUUAGCUAGUUGGUGAGGUAAAGGCUCACCAAGGCGACGAUCCGUAGCUGGUCUGAGAGGAUGAUCAGCCACACUGGGACUGAGACACGGCCCAGACUCCUACGGGAGGCAGCAGUGGGGAAUAUUGGACAAUGGGCGAAAGCCUGAUCCAGCAAUGCCGCGUGAGUGAUGAAGGCCUUAGGGUUGUAAAGCUCUUUUACCCGGGAUGAUAAUGACAGUACCGGGAGAAUAAGCCCCGGCUAACUCCGUGCCAGCAGCCGCAGUAA
Molecule: ribosomal RNA, 449 nt
Filed under: uncultured bacterium
Lineage: Bacteria
Description: partial 16S ribosomal RNA
Rfam family: Bacterial small subunit ribosomal RNA
Source: RNAcentral